RNAcentral lists this ribosomal RNA (359 nucleotides) under Pinnixa cylindrica. RNAcentral's name for it is "partial 12S ribosomal RNA". Lineage: Eukaryota; Metazoa; Arthropoda; Malacostraca; Decapoda; Pinnotheridae. The record is from RNAcentral.
UAUUAUUCUUAGAUGAAUUUAUUUCUAGGUUAGUAGUAGAUAUUUACUUAAAAGCUAAAAAAUUUGGCGGUAAUUUAAUCUUUCCAGAGGAACUUGUUUUUUAAUCGAUAAACCCCGAAAUAUCUUACUUAUCUUAGUAAAGUUUGUAUACCGUCAUUAUCAGGUAAUUUUUAAAAAGUAAAUUUCUAAGUACGAAUAUUUGUAUAAAUUAGACCAUGGUGCAGCUAAUAGGUAAGUUAAAAUGAGUUACAAUAAAUUAUUUUACACGGAUAGUUAAAGAAUAUAAACUAGAAGGAGGAUUUGGUAGUAUUUAGAAUUUAAUAAGUUCUAAAGAUGAUAGCUCUAAAUUAUGUACAUAU